RNAcentral lists this ribosomal RNA (359 nucleotides) under Klebsiella pneumoniae. RNAcentral's name for it is "partial 23S ribosomal RNA". It matches the Rfam family "Bacterial large subunit ribosomal RNA", at positions 1476 to 1816 of the family's 2925-position model. Lineage: Bacteria; Pseudomonadati; Pseudomonadota; Gammaproteobacteria; Enterobacterales; Enterobacteriaceae. The record is from RNAcentral.
AGAAGGCUAUGUUAGCCGGGCGACGGUUGUCCCGGUUUAAGCAUGUAGGCUGGUUAUCCAGGCAAAUCCGGAUAAUCAAGGCUGAGGUGUGAUGACGAGGCACUACGGUGCUGAAGUAACAAAUGCCCUGCUUCCAGGAAAAGCCUCUAAGCAUCAGGUAACAUCAAAUCGUACCCCAAACCGACACAGGUGGUCAGGUAGAGAAUACCAAGGCGCUUGAGAGAACUCGGGUGAAGGAACUAGGCAAAAUGGUGCCGUAACUUCGGGAGAAGGCACGCUGGUGUGUAGGUGAAGCCCCUGCGGGUGGAGCUGAGACCAGUCGAAGAUACCAGCUGGCUGCAACUGUUUAUUAAAAACAC